AGAGUUUGAUCUUGGCUCAGGACGAACGCUGGCGGCGUGCUUAACACAUGCAAGUCGAACGAUGAAGCCUGGCUUGCUAGGUGGAUUAGUGGCGAACGGGUGAGUAAUACGUGAGUAACCUACCUUUAACUCUGGGAUAAGCCUGGGAAACUGGGUCUAAUACCGGAUACGACCGAUCUCCGCAUGGAGUGUUGGUGGAAAGCGUUAUGUAGUGGUUAUAGAUGGGCUCACGGCCUAUCAGCUUGUUGGUGAGGUAACGGCUCACCAAGGCGACGACGGGUAGCCGGCCUGAGAGGGUGACCGGCCACACUGGGACUGAGACACGGCCCAGACUCCUACGGGAGGCAGCAGUGGGGAAUAUUGCACAAUGGGCGCAAGCCUGAUGCAGCGACGCCGCGUGAGGGAUGACGGCCUUCGGGUUGUAAACCUUCUGUUAGCAGGGAAGAAGAGAAAUUGACGGUACCUGCAGAGAAAGCGCCGGCUAACUACGUGCCAGCAGCCGCGGUAAUACGUAGGGCGCGAGCGUUGUCCGGAAUUAUUGGGCGUAAAGAGCUUGUAGGCGGUUUGUCGCGUCUGCUGUGAAAGGCCGGGGCUUAACCCCGUGUAUUGCAGUGGGUACGGGCAGACUAGAGUGCAGUAGGGGAGACUGGAACUCCUGGUGUAGCGGUGGAAUGCGCAGAUAUCAGGAAGAACACCGAUGGCGAAGGCAGGUCUCUGGGCUGUAACUGACGCUGAGAAGCGAAAGCAUGGGGAGCGACCAGGAUUUGCUUCCCUGGUAGUCCGUACCCGUAAAACGUUGGGCACUAGGUGUGGGGGACAAUUCCACGUUUUCCGCGCCGUAAGCUAACGCAUAAAGUGCCCCGCUUGGGGAGUACGGCCGCAAGGCUAAAACUCAAAGAAAUUGACGGGGGCCCGCACAAGCGGCGGAGCAUGCGGAUUAAUUCGAUGCAACGCGAAGAACCUUACCAAGGCUUGACAUAUACUGGACCGCAUCAGAGAUGGUGUUUCCCUUCGGGGCUGGUAUACAGGUGGUGCAUGGUUGUCGUCAGCUCGUGUCGUGAGAUGUUGGGUUAAGUCCCGCAACGAGCGCAACCCUCGUUCUAUGUUGCCAGCACGUUAUGGUGGGGACUCAUAGGAGACUGCCGGGGUCAACUCGGAGGAAGGUGGGGAUGACGUCAAAUCAUCAUGCCCCUUAUGUCUUGGGCUUCACGCAUGCUACAAUGGCCGGUACAGAGGGUUGCGAUACUGUGAGGUGGAGCUAAUCCCUAAAAGCCGGUCUCAGUUCGGAUUGGGGUCUGCAACUCGACCCCAUGAAGUCGGAGUCGCUAGUAAUCGCAGAUCAGCAACGCUGCGGUGAAUACGUUCCCGGGCCUUGCACACACCGCCCGUCA
RNAcentral lists this ribosomal RNA (1391 nucleotides) under uncultured bacterium. RNAcentral's name for it is "16S ribosomal RNA". It matches the Rfam family "Bacterial small subunit ribosomal RNA". The record is from RNAcentral.